Molecule: non-coding RNA, 244 nt
Organism: Paramuricea clavata
Lineage: Eukaryota; Metazoa; Cnidaria; Anthozoa; Malacalcyonacea; Plexauridae
Source: the annotation of a GenBank genome assembly
CUUAUAUUUACCCAAGAUAAUUAAGUACUCAGAAUGUUGAGCCAAGUCAUUAAUAUCGAGAAUAUUGACACAGAAGAGAGACUGUAUGCCUGACGUCUUGGUUUUUCCUAUUAUUUUGGCGUAACCGUAAUUUGUCGUCGAGAUGCUGACGCCAUGGUCCUAGCCAGUGCGAUUCGCCCACUGAUAAUAUUCAAAAUGGCAGACAUCCAGGGGGGACGCCUCUCAUAAGCACACUGGCUAGGAC